RNAcentral lists this microRNA precursor (80 nucleotides) under Salicornia europaea (common glasswort). RNAcentral's name for it is "miR11034 stem-loop (seu-MIR11034)". The record is from miRBase by way of RNAcentral. Lineage: Eukaryota; Viridiplantae; Streptophyta; Magnoliopsida; Caryophyllales; Amaranthaceae.
GCCGUUGACAUUUUGGAUUUGUAUGAUGCAUCCACAAUUAGAUUUGAGUUUUCAUUUCUUAGGUUCAGGGUGUGAAUAUA